This 371-nucleotide ribosomal RNA is filed under the name uncultured PVC group bacterium. RNAcentral describes it as "bacterial SSU rRNA". It matches the Rfam family "Bacterial small subunit ribosomal RNA", at positions 527 to 896 of the family's 1533-position model. The record is from RNAcentral. Lineage: Bacteria; Pseudomonadati.
AGAGGUCCCAAGCGUUGUUCGGAUUCACUGGGCGUAAAGGGUGCGUAGGCGGUCGGGUAAGUCUGAUGUGAAAUCUCACAGCUUAACUGUGAAACUGCAUUGGAUACUAUUCGGCUAGAGAGUUGGAGGGGGGACUGGAAUUCUCGGUGUAGCAGUGAAAUGCGUAGAUAUCGAGAGGAACACCAGUGGCGAAGGCGAGUCCCUGGACAACUUCUGACGCUGAGGCACGAAAGCUAGGGGAGCAAACAGGAUUAGAUACCCUGGUAGUCCUAGCCGUAAACGGUGCUUAUUUGCUGUAAAAGGAAUCGACCCCUUUUGUGGCGUAGCAAACGCGUUAAAUAAGCCGCCUGGGAAGUACGGUCGCAAGAUUA